Molecule: microRNA precursor, 99 nt
Filed under: Marmota monax (woodchuck)
Lineage: Eukaryota; Metazoa; Chordata; Mammalia; Rodentia; Sciuridae
Source: RNAcentral
AUAUAAAUCACCGAGGGAACUUAAAAUGCAGAUUCUGCAUUAAGUCUGGGACAGAACUUGAGACUCUAUAUUUCUAACAAGUGUCCCUGUGGUGCCCAU